Molecule: non-coding RNA, 71 nt
Organism: Vanrija pseudolonga
Lineage: Eukaryota; Fungi; Basidiomycota; Tremellomycetes; Trichosporonales; Trichosporonaceae
Source: the annotation of a RefSeq genome assembly
GUAUGGUUAGUUUAGUGGUAAAAUUUUUCAUUGUGGUUGAAGGGAGUGCAGUUCAAUUCUGUGACCUUACC